Molecule: unclassified non-coding RNA, 296 nt
Filed under: Hevea brasiliensis (rubber tree)
Lineage: Eukaryota; Viridiplantae; Streptophyta; Magnoliopsida; Malpighiales; Euphorbiaceae
Source: RNAcentral
GGUACUCUUAACUGAUUAGCCACCUUUUCCUAGCUAAUACCUUUCUUCACUUUGACAUGGCUUCAAUUAGCACUGCCUUGAAAACUUUGUGGUUGAAGUUGCCUCGGUACUUCCUAACACUUUUGCAUAUUGUGUCAGAUUCUUCUAAACUAGAGAUUUGGCUAUUAUAAAAUACUAGAACUAGCAAAUUAAGUUUUUCAAAGAAAAUAUACAUAAACUUUUUCUUGGUAUUUCAAAAGUGAAGGACCUUAGAUUCUGGCUAUUUCUGGAAGUUAACUAAUUCACUUGGUUUGUUA